CACAAAGCCAGCUCCAUGGAGAAAUGCUUUUCUCACUGUGGACUUGACUGGCCUGCACAGUCCUGACCUCUACCCUAUCCGGCCACUUUGGGAUGAGCUGGAGCACUAAUCAUCAGUCAAAGGUUUAAUUUUCUGCGUUUUCCGCACCAGUCAGAAGUAAUAGAGGAUGAGGACAGCACACAGACAGGAGGGAGAGCGACAGCGUGGAGACAGAGAGGGGAGACAGCUCAGCCUCUUGUAGCUGCCGUGCCAAAUGCAAGAUGUGGGCAGAGAGUGGAGACAGCCUGUGGAGGAACCUCAAGUGGAGAGAAGCAAGGAAGGAAAUGAGAGAGAAGGACAGCAGUGAGCAGACAGCUCCUGUAUCAGCAGGGAGAAUGCGGCUGAGAAUACAAUUCACCUCUCAGCAGUGGAUGCGGCCGGGAACAAUGGAGACGCAGAGGUCAGGCGUGUGGAAAAAAACAACAGCACAGAGGUCUGACAGGUGUCUCUGCUACAGUCGUGUCACACGGAGCCUGCCCACACUACGCAAACAUUGCUGCUCAUUAUAACAACAGAGUUGCUGUCAUCGAGUACAUCUUUACAGAAAGCGGCUUUAUUUUCUCAUGGUGUUGCAUGGCUCAUCAAGGUUGUCUACAUUCUGUCGUGUUAAGAUUAAAAACACAAGGCAAUGCAGGCUUUUGGGAUUAACCUGCCUGAAGGGAUUAGGCUGCUACAUCUGUAUUAUUAUAUACAGUAAACCACUUCUGUAAAUUCUCCGCUUAGGGUUUUGUGGUUAAUACCAGCUAAACGACCUGCUGAAAGGUAUUUCUAGAGCCAAAUGUUUGCAUAUUAGACUGAAUUAGUCAUAAUGGGCCACAACAGGGUCAUUAUUAGACACAACCUGGGUGUUCUUUGGAGACCUUGUUGCCUAGAGAUUAUGUUUUUAUUUUACAGUGUUAUGCUUAAUAUGUUCUGAUGGAAAUGUAAUUGCUGCCUGUUUUGUUGGCUACAUUUUUGCUUAACCGUAAGGUGUGGAG
Long non-coding RNA from Dicentrarchus labrax (European seabass), 1016 nucleotides. RefSeq lists it as uncharacterized. Lineage: Eukaryota; Metazoa; Chordata; Actinopteri; Moronidae. The record is from RefSeq and is a predicted model, not a curated record. The transcript is spliced from 3 exons.